AUGGUGCCCAUGACGCCGAACUCCCACUCAUGGGUGUACGACCGGAUGCGCUCGUUCACCAGGCUGACGCGCAUGCCGAGCUGCCGUCGCAGCGACUGGCGUCGACACCAUCUCCUGGUCGAAUCGCGUGGUGGAUGGCUACAGGAGGUCAUCCAUAACGGCAGAGAAGAGGAUUUAGAAAGAGCAGCAGGCAGGAGACGAAGGCGAAGCAGAAGAGGAUGGGAAAGUUGGUGA
RNAcentral lists this ribosomal RNA (234 nucleotides) under Triticum aestivum (bread wheat). RNAcentral describes it as "partial small subunit ribosomal RNA". Lineage: Eukaryota; Viridiplantae; Streptophyta; Magnoliopsida; Poales; Poaceae. The record is from RNAcentral.